UAAGGAAUAUUGGUCAAUGGACGCAAGUCUGAACCAGCCAUGCCGCGUGAAGGAUUAAGGUCCUCUGGAUUGUAAACUUCUUUUAUCUGGGACGAAAAAAGGCGAUUCUUCGUCACUUGACGGUACCAGAUGAAUAAGCACCGGCUAACUCCGUGCCAGCAGCCGCGGUAAUACGGAGGGUGCAAGCGUUAUCCGGAUUCACUGGGUUUAAAGGGUGCGUAGGCGGGCAGGUAAAGUCAGUGGUGAAAUCCUGGAGCUUAACUCCAGAACUGCCAUUGAUACUAUCUGUCUUGAAUAUUGUGGAGGUAAGCGGAAUAUGUCAUGUAGCGGUGAAAUGCUUAGAUAUGACAUAGAACACCUAUUGCGAAGGCAGCUUACUACGCAUAUAUUGACGCUGAGGCACGAAAGCGUGGGGAUCAAACAGGAUUAGAUACCCUGGUAGUCCACGCCCUAAACGAUGGAUACUCGACAUACGCGAUACACUGUGUGUGUCUGAGCGAAAGCAUUAAGUAUCCCCACCUGGGGAAGUACGACCGCAAGGUUGAAACUCAAAUGAAUUGACGGGGUCAUAGCUGUUU
This 578-nucleotide ribosomal RNA is filed under the name uncultured bacterium. RNAcentral describes it as "partial 16S ribosomal RNA". It matches the Rfam family "Bacterial small subunit ribosomal RNA", at positions 355 to 935 of the family's 1533-position model. The record is from RNAcentral.